AGUGAACGCUGGCGGUAGGCCUAACACAUGCAAGUCGAACGGCAGCACAGUAAGAGCUUGCUCUUACGGGUGGCGAGUGGCGGACGGGUGAGGAAUACAUCGGAAUCUACUUUUUCGUGGGGGAUAACGUAGGGAAACUUACGCUAAUACCGCAUACGACCUACGGGUGAAAGCAGGGGAUCUUCGGACCUUUCGCGAUUGAAUGAGCCGAUGUCGGAUUAGCUAGUUGGCGGGGUAAAGGCCCACCAAGGCGACGAUCCGUAGCUGGUCUGAGAGGAUGAUCGACCACACUGGAACUGAGGGACCGUCCAGGCUCCUACGGGAGGCAGCAGUGGGGAAUAUUGGACAAAGGGCGGAAGCCUGAUCCAGCCAUACCGCGUGGGUGAAGAAGGCCUUCGGGUUGUAAAGCCCUUUUGUUGGGAAAGAAAAGCAGCAGGUUAAUACCCCGCUGUUCUGACGGUACCAAAGAAUAAGCACCGGCUAACUUCGUG
RNAcentral lists this ribosomal RNA (491 nucleotides) under uncultured bacterium. RNAcentral's name for it is "partial 16S ribosomal RNA". It matches the Rfam family "Bacterial small subunit ribosomal RNA", at positions 29 to 507 of the family's 1533-position model. The record is from RNAcentral.